AGUUAUAAUACAGUCACUCAUGAUGAAUUGAUGAAGACCUCCAUUUUAGAUAACAAAGGAUACACAUUAAGAAAUUAAUGAAAGAGGUUUAUUUCAACAUGAGGCUAUGGAACAAGUAAAUGAGUAUGUGUAGGCUGUGGUCCUGAUCAUGUCUACAACCAAUAAAGAGAUGUUAGUAUAGUGCUAUAUCUGGACUAGUGUACUAUCACUAUGAGCAUUUUCUGGACUGUGAUAUCAUUAUGCUUCAUAGAAAGAUUCAGUCAAGAGUGGGGCUUCUGUUGAAUGUAUCACAUUGACUUUAAAGACAUCAUUGGAAGGCAAGAAAGUGCUGGACAGAAAAUGUCUACACAUAGACAUAAACAUAAUUUCUCACAAAGAUUUGUCACUUUUUAUAAUUAUUAUAAUAAUAGUCUAGAUUUUUAUCAGAAACUAAGCUGUAAUUUACAAUUAUUAGUUGAA
This is a long non-coding RNA of Amphimedon queenslandica, 459 nucleotides long. RefSeq lists it as uncharacterized. Lineage: Eukaryota; Metazoa; Porifera; Demospongiae; Haplosclerida; Niphatidae. The transcript is spliced from 5 exons. The record is from RefSeq and is a predicted model, not a curated record.